GCCGUCUGUGGAUCCGCGAGGACUUCUGGUUCCCCGUCGGCCGCCGACCAAUCGGUGUUCGCUGAGAAAAGGGGCGGGCCCCGCGGUUCCCUAGGUUACCUGUGUGAUUGACGUCCAGCCUCCUGCGGCGGAGCGCGCAGACCUCCCCUUCCCGCACACUGAGGAGAAAUCCGCGAGAGAGGGAGAGACGGAGAAGCGACACAUGGGCGCGAGAGGAACGCUUUUUGUCUAAAGUCCCUCGCCGCCGUCCUCGCGCUCUCUUUGCCGGAAGGAUGAACGCGGGAGCGCCGGUAGAAGAAGGGGACUCCUGAAGAAGGGACUCGUCGUACGUUCAUGCUGCCGUUUUGCAUCCCUCCACCUUCCCAUCUGCGCCCAGUGCUCAUCGAAUUCAUCAGCUUCAUCGUCUUCUAGCAGCCUCAUCAGCCAACACCACUGGUUUCCAUGGUAACGGAGUGUUGCUGAGACGGUCGUCAGGCUGCCCACUGGAGCCCGCACGGCUCCCAUUCACCCAUAGACACACUCACACACCGAGGACCUACAAAUAUGCAUUACAGUCGCGUUGACUCAAGGACACACAACCCAAGGACACAAUGAAGACACGGCUACGUACAAACGAAUCCACGCACACACACACACACACACACACACACACACACACACACACACACACACAAAACUCAUACAAGCACUUUGCUGUUUAGGCUUUUAUACCAUGAGAAGUUAGUCAGUAUCACUCUUAUUGUGUGUGUGUGUGUGUGUGUGUGUGUGUGUGUCUGUGUGCGUAUGAACACGUUCUUGGGUGUGAGGUUCUGUGUGCUACUCUAUAUAUUCCCCCAAAGCAGAAACCAAAGGCCUCCCUUUCCCCCGGCACGUUAGGAAUAGUGAGGUGGGGAAAUGCUGGCAGCCAUGUGGUCUCCAGCGCAGACACACACACACACACACACACACACACACAC
Gasterosteus aculeatus aculeatus (three-spined stickleback) is the source of this 956-nucleotide long non-coding RNA. NCBI's taxonomy places the organism in Eukaryota, Metazoa, Chordata, Actinopteri, Perciformes, Gasterosteidae. The record is from Ensembl.